GCUGCCAUCGAAGAGGUGGAGCAACAAUUGUUGGAAGGAGGAGAAAAUGUUCAUAUAGACGUGCAGCUAAUAGAGAGAGAUGACGAGGUCCGAUCUCUUUUCACUCUUGUGAUCUGCGCCAGAAUCGCUUAGCUCUGUGAUUUUUCAUGGGUUUCCUGAUUCCUCCGCUUCCCGAUCGCUUGAUAGGUCAAGGCUCUAUUUUGUGAGCCAGAGCCUUUGAUUUUUCGAUCUCUGUUCUUCGAUUAGGUUUUGGGAUCUUUCAUCUAGUUGUUGGGUAUUGUCGCAUCCAUGGCUUCGAGAUCGAGAUUGAUUGAUACUCUUCCGAAGUAUGAAGUGACGAUACUGCUUUCUUCGCUGAAGUAGUUGUAGAUUCAUAUGUAGAAAUAACUUGUGAAUCAUCGAAUUAGUCGCUGAUACAAAUAAAAGCGACAUUAACACUUCUUUCUGCCAUUAUAGCGUUCAUUACCUGAAAUUUCCUGAUAGAAUUAGACUUCCUUAUAUUUUCCUGAUAACUUUUUUCCUCGUUUUUUUCUUGUACAACAAAUUUGCCAUUGAUUUGGUAUCUUUAGAAUGUUAAUGAAAAAUUACAUAGUGGAGAUGGAUCUGUGGAUCUUUGUGGAAACCCUGCUUUGAAGAACAGCACAGGCAACCAGAGAGCUUGCUUUAACAUUCUUUGCCACUAACAUUAGCUUGACAUAAUCAAGUCUCUUCUUUGUGAGAUCUCUAUAAAGUCACUUCUCGUUUCCAAAUCACGAAUUACAUGGGAUCGGUUCUGUGAACAUAUAACAAAAUCUCGGCACGCACUUGAAGAUUUUUGCAGAAUUCUCAGUCAUAUACUUCAUCUUGAGCAUUUCUGGUUCAUCUCUCAUUUCCUUUUAUGAUUUGCCAUCUAGUUGCAAUGAGUUAUGAUCUGUGGAAGCUGAUUAAUGCCUGCUGCAUUAUGAGCCAUUCAGCAUCCGUUCCAGGUUCCAAGACUCCACCUUGUACAUACAAAAAAUGUCAGCAUCAUUACCGCUGACAUUUUUGUAUGUGCCUAAAUCUGUGCAGAUUGUUAUUGUGUACAUGACGUUGGAUUAUGCAUUGAUUACAAUUAUCUACUGCAGAUUCCUUACACACUGAUAUAAACGUCUCUAUUCAAUGUCUCUGAACAGAGUUGCCUGAGAAGAUCUGAUGAAAUUUCCCUGUUUGGUUUGCAGGAUGACUAGCCGAUCGGCACAUGCUGCAAGACAGCAGAAGUCGGCAUAUGGACCAGGGAACAUUUUUGAAGAACGAGGGGAUGAAGAAAAAGAAGCCAGUAUUGCUUCCAAUUAGUCAAAGGGAUCGUUGUUCUCGAAAAGAACUCCGUGUGUUCGUACACUCGAAACGCAAGUAAGAUUGGUUGUUGGCAUUAGAAGGUUUGCAUGGCCGCAAUUUCACACCACCUUUUCCAAUCAAAUCUAGAGGAAAAGGACAUCGCACGUAUGGCAUCAAAGUAUUAUUCUCAGGUAACAACAUGAAGCACUAUUAUUUUGUUAAUAAUCAACAAAAUGAGCUUGAAUCAAC
RNAcentral lists this long non-coding RNA (1542 nucleotides) under Musa acuminata (dwarf banana). Its description in RNAcentral is "long non-coding RNA (MACU_LNC003883)". Lineage: Eukaryota; Viridiplantae; Streptophyta; Magnoliopsida; Zingiberales; Musaceae. The record is from RNAcentral.